GAUGCCCCAAAUCAAAAUCGCAACCAGAAGCUUCAUCUGCAAGCAGUGAGCAAUGACUGCGGCAGGGUGCCCAUGGAAAAGACUGUAAAAGACUUCAGCUACACCAUUUCGAUUUGCCCGCAACAACUGUGGCUGCAUGCCCACGCUCACACAGGACAAUAGCGAAGGCAAGCGGCCUGACGUCCCUCGGUUCGUAAUCAACUUCUAACACAGAAGUGGAGGAAAGCGGCUCCCGUUCCGUCGUACUAGUCAGUAUGGCUUCAUAUGCCAAUAGUGCAUAUGGACUCGCCCUCCGUCCAGCCUACCGCUUCCUCCCACCCCUGCUCUUUAGGACAAAGCUGGCAAAGGUUCAAUAUGGCAGCAUUUCUAGCUUCGGUCUGCCCAAUUUAAAAAUGGUGGCGCAGCCCUCUUUCCACGGUGACUCAGGAAUUUGGGGCAACUUCGUUUCCAGGAGUCUGACUGCUUGACCCCUUAUCCCGAGCCCCUCCGCGACUCUGAUACUGUGCAGCUCCUCUCACCUUUUCCUGUCUCUGUUCCGCUUUUCCAACACCUCGCCGUCCCGCCCCGCAAAGAGAUGGUAGUGCCCCGCAUUAACAUGGCUUCCACCGAGCCGCUAUGGCUUGCCCUCGAGGAAAAUGGCACAAUGUUGACUUCGAUGCCAGUAUACAAUAUGGAGAGAGCCAAGGAGGCGUUCCUUGGCGGUCACGAGUUGUCGAGUAGCGAUCCCGGGUCCGUCUACUUGUUUACUUCGUGGCGAGAGUGGUACACUGCGCCUGCGCCGUCUCGUUGACCCCUGACCAAGAGUGUUGUCUACACCACGUGACUGACUCUAGCCAUUUCAGCUACCCUGUUCAGAUAGAUGGUUUCACCCGUUGCAGCUCUACAGCUUCAGGGGCGCUACCACUAUCUGGCCUGGAAGGGAAGUGUUCUUUCCGGAUAUGACACCUCAUUGACCCGGAAAGGGAGGAGAUUGGGGCAGUGGAACCUCCGCGGUAGCUAUGGAAGGAUCCAGCUACAGGGUGGUUUUUGAGAAGGGAGGCGUUUAUCUGCACACCAGCGCCAGGAAGCACCAGGACCCGGACUCGCUCAUCGCGGGCGUCAUCCGUGUGGUGGAGAAGGACAGUGACGUCCUCCUGCACUGGGCUCCCGUGGAGGAGGCUGGAGACCCGACGCAGAUCGUCUUCUCCAAGAAGGACCCAAGUGGAGGGGAGCCCAGUGCCUCAGAGGAGGAGCCCACCUUUGACCCCGGCUAUGAACCUGACUGGGCUGUCAUCAGCACAGUGCAACCACGGCCACACCUGGCAGAGCCCAGGAGAGGUGCAGAGCCCAGCUGUCCCCGGAGCUCCUGGGCCUUCUCCGUGAGCCUGGGGGAGCUCAAGUCCAUCCGCAGGUCCAAGCCAGGCCUUAGCUGGGCCUACUUGGUCCUGGUGACCCAGGCUGGAGGCUCCCUGCCUGCCUUGCACUUCCACAGAGGGGGUACACGAGCCUUACUCCGGGUCCUCAGCCGCUAUCUGCUGUUGGCCAGCUCCCCGCAGGACCCCCGCCUCUACUUGGUCUUCCCCCACGACUCCUCCGCUCUCUCCAGCUCUUUCCAUCACCUGCAGCUCUUCGACCAGGACAGCUCCAAUGUGGUAUCUCGCUUCCUCCAGGAUCCCUACUCUACCACCUUCAGUAGCUUCUCUCGAGUGACCAACUUCUUCCGGGGAGCCCUGCAGCCGCACCCUGAGGGCGCGUCCUCCCCUGACCUGCCCCUGCUGCCAGAUGAUGAGCCAGAGCCUGGCUUCGAGGUCAUCUCCUGCGUGGAGCUGGGGCGGCGUCCCACAGUGGAGCGGGCUCCUCCAGUCACAGAGGAAGAAUGGUCCCGCCACGUGGGUCCUGAUGGUCGCCUGCAGAAUAUCCCUGAAUUGAAAAAUCGGAUCUUCUCAGGAGGUCUCAGCCCUGGCCUGCGGCGGGAGGCAUGGAAGUUCCUCCUGGGGUACCUUAGCUGGGAGGGUUCAGCUGAAGAACACAAAGCCCAUGUGCGGAAGAAAACGGAUGAGUACUUCCGAAUGAAGCUACAGUGGAAGUCCGUGAGUGCUGAACAGGAGCGGCGGAACUCACUGCUGCACGGAUACCGCAGCCUCAUUGAGAGAGAUGUAAGCCGCACCGACAGGACUAACAAGUUCUACGAAGGCCCUGAGAACCCAGGGCUGGGCCUGCUCAAUGACAUCCUCCUCACCUACUGCAUGUACCACUUCGACUUGGGCUAUGUUCAGGGCAUGAGUGACCUCCUGUCCCCAAUCCUCUUCGUUGUUCAGAACGAAGUGGAUGCCUUCUGGUGUUUCUGUGGCUUCAUGGAACUUGUGCAUGGGAACUUUGAGGAGAGCCAGGAGACUAUGAAGCGGCAGCUUGGGCAGCUCUUGCUGCUUCUGCGGGUGCUGGAUCAGCCACUCUGUGAUUUCCUGGAUUCCCAGGACUCGGGCUCGCUGUGCUUCUGCUUCCGGUGGCUGCUCAUCUGGUUCAAGAGGGAAUUUCCCUUCCCUGAUGUCCUUCGGCUGUGGGAGGUGGGCAGCCAGCUGGGGUCCUGUGGACUGGGCUUCCUGGUCCCAAUCUGCACCUGCUGGUGGCCUGUGCCAUCUUAGACAUGGAGCGGGAUACCCUGAUGCUGUCUGGCUUUGGCUCCAACGAGAUCCUUAAGCACAUCAAUGAACUGACCAUGAAGCUGAGCGUCGAGGAUGUGCUGACGCGGGCAGAGGCCCUGUACAGGCAGCUGACUGCCUGCCC
Arvicola amphibius (Eurasian water vole) is the source of this 2763-nucleotide RNA transcript. It is a transcript of the gene named TBC1 domain family member 17, with no coding region annotated. NCBI's taxonomy places the organism in Eukaryota, Metazoa, Chordata, Mammalia, Rodentia, Cricetidae. The transcript has 16 exons. The record is from RefSeq and is a predicted model, not a curated record.